CUGUCAAACUCAGAGGAAAUCACCUUUUCAAAAGACUCUGUGUUGUUUCAAAAUAAAUGAGCCAGGGCUUGGUCUUCCCUUUGAACUCAUCCAAAGUAAUUAAGACGGAAAAUUACACAACUUGAAUCUGGGGUUAUUUAGCCGUCAAGUUUGUGGACCAUAUCGUAGAAUCGGUCGUUACCAAAUUUUUUCCUUUAAGAAUCACGACUUGUGUAUUUUUUCCUUGUUGCCCAAGUUCAUACAAACCCCUAUAAAUAAUAGGAAUAUCGUCUCACGUCUCAAUACCAUUCAUUCAACAAUUCACUCCUUAAAAUCAAGCUCACUUUCUCUCAAAAACCUUAAACAAUACUGCAGUCGUUUGAAACACAUAAAAAUGUUGUCAAUGAAUCAUGGCUUAGCGGAAGCUUAUGUAAUGAGGAAGCAUCUGCAGGAGAAGAUGAAGAAGCUGAAUUCUACAUCAAAAAAUGGAGAGGAGAAAGAAGGUUCGGCUGAUAACAAGGACGGAGGGUGCUUUCCGAUGCUAAAGAAGAAGAUACAUCCUAAUAGCACUACCUCCUCGGAUUCGCAGUGAUCACUCUUUUUUUACUCCUUCAUGUCCUCUCCUGGAGUGAAUCAAAUUCAAAUUAGUUGUUCGUAGUUACUCCUUCUGUCCAAUUUAUGUGAGGUGUGGCUUCGUCUCCACGCGAAAAUUAAAUUUCCAAACGGACCAAGAAAGAAAGAAAGACGCCACUGAAGUUGGGAACAGUUAGGCACCAUGCUCGUGGACCACAUCGUUCCAAAAGUCGUCACGAUGUAAAAAUAAUCACGGAUUGCGUCAUAUUUUCUCGUUGCUCAACUCUGUGAACCCCUAUAUAACAUUCAUGCACUUGUAUUCUUUCUUUCCAUACCAUUCAUUCACUCAUCUUCCUCGAUUUUCAACUAAAAAGCUUGCGAUAAUGUCGACAAUGAGCUACGGUUUAGCUGAAGUUUAUGUGAUGAGGAAGUUGCAAAAAGACAAGAUGAGCAAAACGGGAGCGCGAGUUAAGAAGGAGCUUACAAGAGAAGAUGCGGUUGAUUAUAAGAAGAAGAAUGUCGAUUCUGGCUGCUUUUCAAUGGUGUUAAAGAAGAUACAUCCUAACAUUAAUUCUUCGUCGGAAUAAUGGCAGAUUAUUUUUUCCGAUUGAUUAAUUUGAAGCUUCCGGCAGAGUAUAUGUAAUUCAGAUUAGUUGUUUGUAAUUUGUAUAGUCUGCUUCAAGUAUAUUUAUUGUGUUCAAUACUUGUUCAAAAAUUCUUUGGUUUUGUAUGACUCAGAUUUCUGGUGUUUCUCCGAAAA
Molecule: long non-coding RNA, 1312 nt
Organism: Daucus carota subsp. sativus
Lineage: Eukaryota; Viridiplantae; Streptophyta; Magnoliopsida; Apiales; Apiaceae
Exons: 2
Source: RefSeq, a predicted model, not a curated record